GCGUUGGGAGCUCUCCCNUAUGGUCGACCUGCAGGCGGCCGCGAAUUCACUAGUGAUUAGAGUUUGAUCCUGGCUCAGAUUGAACGCUGGCGGCGUGCUUAACACAUGCAAGUCGAACGUGAAAGUCCUUCGGGGCGAGUAAAGUGGCGCACGGGUGAGUAACGCGUGGAUAAUCUACCCUUAAGAUGGGGAUAACGGCUGGAAACGGUCGCUAAUACCGAAUACGCUCCCGAUUUUAUCAUUGGGGGGAAAGAUGGCCUCUGCUUGCAAGCUAUCGCUUAAGGAUGAGUCCGCGUCCCAUUAGCUAGUUGGCGGGGUAACGGCCCACCAAGGCAACGAUGGGUAGCCGGUCUGAGAGGAUGACCGGCCACGCUGGAACUGGAACACGGUCCAGACUCCUACGGGAGGCAGCAGUGGGGAAUAUUGCGCAAUGGGCGAAAGCCUGACGCAGCGACGCCGCGUGAGGGAUGAAGGUUCUCGGAUCGUAAACCUCUGUCAGGGGGGAAGAAACCCCCUCGUGUGAAUAAUGCGAGGGCUUGACGGUACCCCCAAAGGAAGCACCGGCUAACUCCGUGCCAGCAGCCGCGGUAAUACGGAGGGUGCAAGCGUUAAUCGGAAUCACUGGGCGUAAAGCGCACGUAGGCGGCUUGGUAAGUCAGGGGUGAAAUCCCACAGCCCAACUGUGGAACUGCCUUUGAUACUGCCAGGCUUGAGUACCGGAGAGGGUGGCGGAAUUCCAGGUGUAGGAGUGAAAUCCGUAGAUAUCUGGAGGAACACCGGUGGCGAAGGCGGCCACCUGGACGGUAACUGACGCUGAGGUGCGAAAGCGUGGGUAGCAAACAGGAUUAGAUACCCUNNAGUCCACGCUGUAAACGAUGGGUGCUGGGUGCUGGGAUGUAUGUCUCGGUGCCGUANCUAACGCGAUAAGCACCCCGCCUGGGGAGUACGGUCGCAAGGCUGAAACUCAAAGAANNUGACGGGGGCCCGCACAGCGGUGGA
RNAcentral lists this ribosomal RNA (999 nucleotides) under uncultured Bilophila sp. RNAcentral describes it as "bacterial SSU rRNA". It matches the Rfam family "Bacterial small subunit ribosomal RNA", at positions 1 to 936 of the family's 1533-position model. Lineage: Bacteria; Pseudomonadati; Thermodesulfobacteriota; Desulfovibrionia; Desulfovibrionales; Desulfovibrionaceae. The record is from RNAcentral.